RNAcentral lists this ribosomal RNA (253 nucleotides) under uncultured bacterium. RNAcentral's name for it is "partial 16S ribosomal RNA". It matches the Rfam family "Bacterial small subunit ribosomal RNA", at positions 524 to 776 of the family's 1533-position model. The record is from RNAcentral.
UACGAAGGGGGCUAGCGUUGUUCGGAAUCACUGGGCGUAAAGCGCACGUAGGCGGACGUUUAAGUCAGGGGUGAAAUCCCAGGGCUCAACCCUGGAACUGCCCUUGAUACUGGACGUCUCGAGUCCGGGAGAGGUGAGUGGAACUCCGAGUGUAGAGGUGAAAUUCGUAGAUAUUCGGAAGAACACCAGUGGCGAAGGCGGCUCACUGGCCCGGUACUGACGCUCAGACGCGAAAGCGUGGGGAGCAAACAGG